This 217-nucleotide long non-coding RNA is filed under the name Gossypium barbadense (sea-island cotton). RNAcentral's name for it is "long non-coding RNA (GBAR_LNC023518)". The record is from RNAcentral. Lineage: Eukaryota; Viridiplantae; Streptophyta; Magnoliopsida; Malvales; Malvaceae.
CUAGAUUCAAGUGUGCAACAGUUCAUUACGGAAUAAAUGUUCAACAGUUUGAGAUUUCUAUCUAUGAUAGAUUAUGUUUGCCGGUCAUCCUAUCCUGUCUUAAAAUCUAAAACUGUUGAUAAUCAGUAGAGGAAAUCAUUACCUUAUUACCUGACUUAGCGGCUGAAAUGUGUUGAGAGAUUAGAACUGAAAAUGAAGCAGUGAAGUUGACUUCCUU